This 229-nucleotide ribosomal RNA is filed under the name uncultured bacterium. Its description in RNAcentral is "partial 16S ribosomal RNA". It matches the Rfam family "Bacterial small subunit ribosomal RNA", at positions 568 to 796 of the family's 1533-position model. The record is from RNAcentral.
UCCGUAGGCGGGCAAUUAAGUCAGAGGUGAAAUCCCACAGCUCAACUGUGGAACUGCCUUUGAUACUGGUUGUCUUGAGUCAUAGUGAAGUAGGUAGAAUAUGUAGUGUAGCGGCGAAAUGCAUAGAUAUUACAUAGAAUACCGAUUGCGAAGGCAGUCUACUAACUGUAUACUGACGCUAAUGGACGAAAGCGUGGGGAGCGAACAGGAUUAGAUACCCUGGUAGUCC